UGGGGAAUAUUGGACAAUGGGCGCAAGCCUGAUCCAGCAAUUCCGCGUGGGUGAAGAAGGUCUUCGGAUUGUAAAGCCCUUUCGACAGGGACGAUGAUGACGGUACCUGUAGAAGAAGCCCCGGCUAACUUCGUGCCAGCAGCCGCGGUAAUACGAAGGGGGCUAGCGUUGCUCGGAAUUACUGGGCGUAAAGGGCGCGUAGGCGGCUGUGUUAGUCAGGCGUGAAAUUCCUGGGCUCAACCUGGGGGACUGCGCUUGAUACGGCAUGGCUUGAGGAUGGAAGAGGCUCGCGGAAUUCCCAGUGUAGAGGUGAAAUUCGUAGAUAUUGGGAAGAACACCGGUGGCGAAGGCGGCGAGCUGGUCCAUUA
RNAcentral lists this ribosomal RNA (368 nucleotides) under uncultured bacterium. Its description in RNAcentral is "partial 16S ribosomal RNA". It matches the Rfam family "Bacterial small subunit ribosomal RNA", at positions 355 to 739 of the family's 1533-position model. The record is from RNAcentral.